UGUCAGAGCUCCAGACUGGUGGGUUUAAGUCAGGCCCUUUUCUUCGGUCUUUCUCUGCAUUUUGCAUUUCCUUAGCACCAUCUAGGAAGCAUUUGCACAAAGUGGAUGGCAUUUUGUACAAAAAGAAGAGAAGAUCAGCAUCAUCAGGAAAGCAGACUUCAUCUUGACAGUUACAAAGAAGCUGACCUUGUUGCUCUGUUGAUGAGCUUGCAGUGCAAAGAAAAGCAGCCAGCAUUUGCUGUGAGAUGCGCAGUGCAUUAAAUCCAUGGAGACAGGAGCACACAGGCCCUUUGCUGGGUAAUGGCAGGCACACAGCAAAUACAGUCACAUAUCAAACCUUUCUGUUGGGGGGGAGCUGUGGGAUUACCUGUACAUCUUUAUAUGAUCACUCAGUUAAAAAAGGAGCACUUUGGUGGCUUUCCCACCCUUGGCAGAUGGCUUGGGCUGGCAGUGGGAGCGUGCAGAGAGCCAGAGGCAGCUCUGCUGGAUGUGCCCUGCCCUCCUUUCCAUUGUGUCCCUUCUGUAUCCCCUGGCUCUCGUGGCUCCCAGCUGGCAGGGACCUGCACAGAGGUGCCAGCCAGCCCCAGGCAGGCAGGACUGGCACUGAUUAAGUGCCUCUCCCAGUGAUGUGAUAUUAGAGGGGUUUUAACCAGCCCUGGAAAAAGACUUUUGUUUUGCUGUUGAACUAGCAAAGAUUAGGUGGCAUUUGAAUUACUGCUUCACCCCUUUCAUUUCCAAGACUGUGAACAUGUUUGCAUUGGUUUCCUCACUCAAGAGGUCUUGUCUGGCAGGACUGGCCAUCAGUCUCUCCUGAUGCUGUCUGUUGUCCCAGAGCCUCCAGUAACUAUGCAAAGUGCUGGAUGCUACAUGCUCAUUCCAGAUUUAUCAGUGCAAUUUGCAUGUACUUAAUAUUUGUGCUUCACUGAUGUAAAACUUGAAUAUUAUUGGUUUAUUAACUUUUUUCUGGGGGGGAAGGUCAUUACUUUGCUUUAUGGCGGUGUUUAAAAUGUGCAGAACUUGAUGUAGAUGCUUUGAUUGCAUGCAUAAAACUUGUAGGAAAUACUGUAAUAAAGCUCAUAGAGCAGAUAGUAAAUGUCUUCAUGUUUGG
This is a non-coding RNA of Zonotrichia albicollis (white-throated sparrow), 1108 nucleotides long. NCBI's taxonomy places the organism in Eukaryota, Metazoa, Chordata, Aves, Passeriformes, Passerellidae. The record is from RefSeq and is a predicted model, not a curated record.